RNAcentral lists this transfer-messenger RNA (167 nucleotides) under Sulfuritalea sp. Its description in RNAcentral is "partial transfer-messenger RNA". It matches the Rfam family "transfer-messenger RNA", at positions 199 to 374 of the family's 374-position model. Rfam says of the family: Bacterial tmRNA, also known as 10Sa RNA or SsrA, is named for its dual tRNA and mRNA-like properties. Its role is to liberate the mRNA from a stalled ribosome. The record is from RNAcentral. Lineage: Bacteria; Pseudomonadati; Pseudomonadota; Betaproteobacteria; Nitrosomonadales; Sterolibacteriaceae.
GAUAAGGCUGUGCAGCGUCGCGAUGCACGGUUCGAAAAUCCAGCGAAUCGCCUUCAACCAGCCUGUCCGUCGGCGUGUUGCGGGUUAAAUCAAAUGACGUGGCUAAGUAUGUAGAACUGUAUGUGGCGCACUUGUGGACGCGGGUUCAAUUCCCGCCGCCUCCACCA